This 23-nucleotide small nuclear RNA is filed under the name Arabidopsis thaliana (thale cress). RNAcentral's name for it is "snRNA_17072". Lineage: Eukaryota; Viridiplantae; Streptophyta; Magnoliopsida; Brassicales; Brassicaceae. The record is from RNAcentral.
CUGGUCAGUAUGAUCCCAAAACC